This is a long non-coding RNA of Pezoporus occidentalis (night parrot), 4365 nucleotides long. RefSeq lists it as uncharacterized. Lineage: Eukaryota; Metazoa; Chordata; Aves; Psittaciformes; Psittacidae. The transcript is spliced from 4 exons. The record is from RefSeq and is a predicted model, not a curated record.
GGCUGCACAAAGUUUAACUUAAAUAUUUUUUUUUGCAAAAGUCCAUCCAAGGUUCUCCAGGAGCUUUUCAGACUAUGGUUCAGUCAGGCUCAGGUUUGGAAGAGUGAUGAGAGAUGUACCAUUUGAAGUCUUGCUUUGGCAUCAAGAUUCAGGAAGCCCUGCAGUCAUGAGAGUGCUGUGCAGUUUUCACAGCCACAAGGUUGUCCUGAAACAGCAAGGAAAAAGCACAGGAACCAGCACUCCUUUUCCAAGCUAGUGCCAAGACACAAGGAGUCGAGAGAUUUAUAUAAAUUUAACAGCAAACACAGCCUAUACUCAGAGGUAACUGCAUUUUUAUCAGGAGGUACAGGAUAUGAGGCUCUGACACCUCUCUCCUCUGAUUCAUACACUGGAAUAAAGCAGAAAUUUGAUGGCAUCUGCAUUGCUGACUCAAUCAUGUAUCUUCAGUGCAGAUCUUGUUAGUGCCGGGAAAAAGGAUUUGGAGUGGAAAGUGCUCUUCUUGCCUGCACAUAGCCUGCAGUGCAGCCACAGCUUUGCUGUUGUGCCUCAAGACUGCACCAGUAAAAAUAGGAAGCCAGAAGCCCCAUCAGAAAUUACAGGUAGGAGGAAGGGUGAAGUGUGAAAUGAAAGCUGAGAGAGAAAGAAUUGCUUGGUCUUUGUUUUUUCAGCAUUUUCUCAUUUUAAACUAUAAGGAAUCUCUACGAUGACGGUUAAGUAAAAGAAAAUAUGCUGAAAGUGAUGGAAAUGCAAAGUAUUGGCCCCAGUCCCACUGCUGACAUACGUGGCCAAACCCUCUGAUUGAGGCUGGCACGUGUGUCCCCAUGGGAUCCCUCCUCAGACUCACUUUUCAAAUACAGACGCACUGACAUUUCCUCACCCUUUUACCAGCGGUAGUAAUUCUCCAGCAAAUCCCCAGGCUCAGGGAACAAUGUUUGUGUACCAUGAAGCCAUGCACUCUGCUUUGCAAACUGAUGCCACAGCCAAGACUUGGUGAAAGUCCAGGACAGGACCGCAGAGCAUGAGGCCAGUGGCACUCACAACAUGCAGGAACAUCUUUUCUUUUUCUUUAAAUCAUUUUUAUACAACUUCUUCAAAAGGUUUGACAGGACCGUAGUAAAACAUGAUCCCUGUAGGGAGUUUAUGCAAACUCGUAGCACGCAGCUGGGUAGAGGGCACUGUGAAGGCGCAGCAGCAGUUAGCGCCCGCCGCCUUUGCUUCAGAAUGCUUUUUAAUAGCUUUCUGAUUAUUUCAUUACUUUAUCCUCCCACGUUGCUGAAUAACAGUGUAUAUGUCUGCCCUGCAACCCAGUGCAUGACCUCCCCUGCCCCAGCUCAUGGGGACAGGUUUGAUUUCAAGCUAGUAAAGCCAGUCCAAGAAACAAAGAGAUUCCCAGGUGGUUUCUUUACCCUCUGCAGCCACUUUACCAGAGGCAGCACUGGCAUAUGGUUCAAGUUGAACCAGGAGAGUUUCACUGAAGGAAUUCCCACCAUGAGGCAGGAGUGUAAGUCCAAAGCUAUCUGUAGCAUACUAUAAGGUGAAUCAGGUUGUUCCUAAGGCUGUGCUAGAGGUGGGUCAAGAUUCACAGGCUCCCUGAACAACCUGCACCCAUCUUGUGCUUUUUCGUCAUCCCUUUUGCCACAUUUUGGCCCUUUUACAUCGCUGGAAAUGAUUCCUCCUCCUGCUGUGCUUGGAGAAAUAAGCUUCUCAUUUGGCAUCAGGACAUGCUUCCACCUCCCAGCCAGAUCAGACCAAAAGCAAGCACUGCUUUGCUGCCAGCUCCCGCUGACAGCUGGAUGUGCACCUCGCUACACCAGCAGUUUGGCUGCAAGCAAAUGAUCGCCAUGUGAAACUGAGAUUCCCAAACUGGGGUUCCACUUCCCCUGUGAACCCCUAUGCCCCAAUGUCUGAGCUGCCCCAGGCUCUGAAGGCUCCAACCGACAGCCAAGGUUCACAUGGAGAUCACUCCUCAACAGCCCUAGGGAAGGGCAAAUGCUCACUAGCAUUUCCUAUUAAUUGAAUUAAUUUGAGGAUUUCCUAUUAAUUUCCUAUCAUAAACAUUGCUUUAUGAACUAAUAAGAAGAAAGCCAGCCAUCCUCUACCCAUCAGAACAUAACCAAGUGAAAGUCCCACACACCAGUGCUAUUUUUUGGAGGGAAAGAACAGGUUUUAAGUGCCUCUAUUUUAAAAGAAUGGCCCAUGCAAGCAGCCAAAGACUUUGCAGCAGAACUGGGCAGGUUCAGACCCAUUUAAAGGAAAAAGCAUCCCCAGGCCAUGUUCUGUGGUAAACUCUGUGUUUUUUCCAAGGGAAUAUGAGAAAAGCAAGGAAGAGGCAUGCAGCCCAGAGAGCAGUUGGGCAAGAUGCCACCAUCUCUUUCUGCCCCAGUCAUAACUGAAUGUCCCAGGACCUCCUCUCUGAUAAAAGCCAGCGUGUGGGAAAGAAAUCAUCUUUGAUUUCCGUUUCUUAAUGGCACAUCCUGAAAGAGCCAUCCCUGCAUGGGAGCGGCCAGCAACUGCAUUCAUCCCAUGCAAGAGCCACCAGUGGCCGCCUCUCCUCUACCAUUUGAAAGGAUACUGCGACCUUGUCCUGGUCUUCCUACAAGUUAUCAUACAUCAUAAAACCUUCUGCUUGAUAUGAGAUAGAGAGGAUGGAUUUUGUGCUUAGUGAAGAGCAGUGAAGCUGGUGAAAGGUUUGGAGCACAAGUCCUUUGAGGAGCAGCUGAGGGAACUGAGGUUGUUUAGCCUCAGGGGAGACCUUAUUGCUCUCUACAGCUACCUGCAAGGAGGUUGUAGCAAGGUGGAGGUCGGUCUCUUCUCCCAUGUGACAAGUGACGGGACAAGAGGAAGCAGCUUCAAGGUGUGCAAGGGGAGAUUUAGAUAAGAUGUUAGGAAAAAUUUCUUCACUGAAAGGGUUGUCAAGCAUUGGAAGAGGCUCCACAGGGAAGUGGUGGAGUCACCAUCCCUGGAGGUAUUUAAAAGACAUUGCAGAUGUUAAGGGUCUUUUCCAACCUAAACAAUUCCAUGAUUUUAUGAUUUCCAGGCAGCUGCUCCCAGGACCCACCACAGAAUGACCAUAAAGCCAAAACCUGACACAGGACUGGAAAUCCUUUUCUCCAUCCCAAGGAAGACCAGCGAAAGAGAAAAAAUGAAGGAAGCAACCAUGAACCUUCGAUUCCAAAUCACCCAACAACCACAAAAUCCUUUUUGGGAUGCCCAGUGAUCAAAUCUCAGCUGCCACAAAAAUCAACGUUGGUGACAUGGGAGCAGAGGUUCCCUCACCUUCAUUAAUUUUUGCUGGAUAUGAUUGAUUCAAGUUUCUGGGCAGCAGUAAAGUUGGAAAAAGCAAGUUCCCGGCAAUGAGUAUCUGCCAAAAUAAACAGAGCUGGAUGUCACCAUGAUAGGAGGAGCAUAUGUGCCACUUCCUUUCUCUGUCUCCAGCCUAAACCAUAGAAUCAUAGAAUGGGUUGGAUUGGAAAGGACCUUAAGAUCACCCAGUUCCAACCCCCUGCCAAUGUCCCUGCCACGAGCAGGAACACCUUCCACUAGACCAGGUUGCUCCAAGCCCUGUCCAACCUGGCCUUGAACACUUCCAAUUCCUUUAACCAUCUGAUAAGAAAGCAGAUGAGACAUAGGUGCCAAUGCCUAAAGUACAGGAAAAAUGCUGUUACGCUGAGAGAGAGGGAAGGGUUUUAUGCACAGUGCAGGUUCCCAUCCAACAGUCAUAAUAUUUCUGGAGUGUUUUGGGGGUUUUACCAUGUGUGCACUCACAUUUCUGUAUAAAUCAGUGCAUGGGAAGUAAAAUUAGACGUGACAUGAGGGAAUGGAAAAACCCAGGUGAGUUCUUCCCAGCAGGACCCUUUGUUCUCUCAGCGAGUUCUGAUUUCCCAGCAUAUGUGGCUGGUAUAGGUGAUGUUUUCUCUUCAUGUUUUUUUACUUCUUUAUACCAGUCUUCAUGCUUUGGGGGGAGGGAGGAUGGCAAUGGAAUCAACCCUGUCAAAAAGGUUGACAUUUUGUAGCAGAUAAAGCCAAAUAUAGACAGUUGCUUUGAUUUGGCUUUUUGCUGAAUUUUAGGGGAGGCAGGAGAGGAUUUAGGCAACAGGGAGAAGUUCUUCCCUGUGGUGGUGGUAAGGCCCUGGCACAGGUUGCCCAGAGAAGCUGUGGCUGUCCCAUCCUUGGCAGUGUUUCAAGGCCAAAUUGAACAGAGCUUGGAGCAACCUGGUCUAGUGGAAGGUGUCCCUGCCUGUGGCAGGGGGGUGGAACUGGAUGAGCUUUAAGGUCCCUUCUGACACAAAGAAUUUUAUGUUUCUAUGCUAACAUUUACAACCCCAUAUAAAUGCUAUGUAUCAGCACCUCCAGCCUCUGAAUCCA